This 495-nucleotide ribosomal RNA is filed under the name uncultured bacterium. Its description in RNAcentral is "partial 16S ribosomal RNA". It matches the Rfam family "Bacterial small subunit ribosomal RNA", at positions 28 to 507 of the family's 1533-position model. The record is from RNAcentral.
GACGAACGCUGGCGGCGUGCCUAAUACAUGCAAGUAGAACGCUGAAGGAGGAGCUUGCUUCUCUGGAUGAGUUGCGAACGGGUGAGUAACGCGUAGGUAACCUGCCUGGUAGCGGGGGAUAACUAUUGGAAACGAUAGCUAAUACCGCAUAAGAGUAGCUGUUGCAUGACAUUUGCUUAAAAGGUGCAAUUGCAUCACUACCAGAUGGACCUGCGUUGUAUUAGCUAGUUGGUGGGGUAACGGCUCACCAAGGCGACGAUACAUAGCCGACCUGAGAGGGUGAGCGGCCACACUGGGAGUGAGACACGGCCCAGACUCCUACGGGAGGCAGCAGGAGGGAAUCUUCGGCAAUGGGCGGAAGUCUGACCGAGAAACGCCGCGUGAGUGAAGAAGGUGUUCGGAUCGUAAAGCACUGUUGUAAGAGAAGAAAGAGUGUGAGAGUGGAAAGUACACACUGUGACGGUAUCUGACAAGAAAGGGACGGCUAACUACGUG